RNAcentral lists this microRNA precursor (90 nucleotides) under Otolemur garnettii (small-eared galago). RNAcentral's name for it is "miRNA (ENSOGAG00000027571.1)". Lineage: Eukaryota; Metazoa; Chordata; Mammalia; Primates; Galagidae. The record is from RNAcentral.
CAUCUCAAUCUGUGACACUCAGCCCUGGGGGCACUUUCUGGUCUCAUAAUGAAAGUGCUGUCAUAGUUGAGUUCCAUUGACUGAGGCAAG